Molecule: ribosomal RNA, 280 nt
Filed under: uncultured bacterium
Lineage: Bacteria
Description: partial 16S ribosomal RNA
Source: RNAcentral
GGACUACACGGGUAUCUAAUCCCGAUCGAUACCCAUGCCUUCGUACCUCAGCGUCAGUUUAAUAUAGUAACAUGCCUUCGCCACUUCGCAUCCCUUAGAAAAUUCAAGUAUUGUUACACUCCUUCCUAAGUAAUUGAUACUUCUUUUAAACUCUAGUAUAAUAUUAUAAUAUUCACUCUUAUGUGAUUUAAAUAUGAUUUAUUAUACCGCCUACGUACCCUUUAGACCCAUUAAUGACGAAUAACGCUUGCCUCUUACGUAUUACCGCGGCUGCUGGCAC